Molecule: small nuclear RNA, 103 nt
Organism: Sarcophilus harrisii (Tasmanian devil)
Lineage: Eukaryota; Metazoa; Chordata; Mammalia; Dasyuromorphia; Dasyuridae
Source: Ensembl
UUGCUUCAGCAGCAUAUAUACUAAAGUUGGAAUGAUACAGAGAAGAUUAGCAUGGCCCCUGCUCAGAGAUGACAUGCAAAUUUGUGAAGGAAUAUUUGCUAUC